This 235-nucleotide ribosomal RNA is filed under the name uncultured bacterium. RNAcentral's name for it is "partial 16S ribosomal RNA". It matches the Rfam family "Bacterial small subunit ribosomal RNA", at positions 96 to 334 of the family's 1533-position model. The record is from RNAcentral.
CGGCGAACGGGUGAGUAAUACUUCGGAAUCUACCCUAUGGUGGGGAAUAACCAGCCGAAAGGUUGGCUAAUACCGCAUACGUCCUACGGGAGAAAGCAGGGGAUCGUAAGACCUUGCGCCGAUGGAUGAGCCGAAGUCGGAUUAGCUAGUUGGUGAGGUAACGGCUCACCAAGGCGACGAUCCGUAGCUGGUCUGAGAGGACGACCAGCCACACUGGGACUGAGACACGGCCCAG